Molecule: non-coding RNA, 69 nt
Organism: Podarcis lilfordi (Lilford's wall lizard)
Lineage: Eukaryota; Metazoa; Chordata; Lepidosauria; Squamata; Lacertidae
Source: the annotation of a GenBank genome assembly
GCCUUAGCUCAGUGACUGAGCAUCUGCUUUGUAUGCAGAAGGCUAUGGCUUCAAUCCCUGGAAUCACCA